This is a long non-coding RNA of Lagopus muta (rock ptarmigan), 2450 nucleotides long. RefSeq lists it as uncharacterized. The transcript has 3 exons. The record is from RefSeq and is a predicted model, not a curated record. NCBI's taxonomy places the organism in Eukaryota, Metazoa, Chordata, Aves, Galliformes, Phasianidae.
AUUGUAUUUCAUCUGUGCUCAUAUAUAUUUUGUAUACACACACACACACACGUAGUCUCUUGUGUCAAUAAAGUAAGUGAAAGUCUCACACUGGGCAGAUAAGAAUUACGCAACUCUGUAUCUUGAAAUGCACAUUCUCAUAUAACGAAUGGAUCUGCCAGGACCAUGAAUUAAAUGCUAUCUGAGCAUGGGGAGAACAGAGCCCACAUGACAAAACCACUAGAAGGCUAACGUAAGCAUGCAGACUACAAGAUAGCAAGAAAUCAGAUACAAGAAUAACACAGUUAUAAAACUGUUAUAAAACAGUUGCCAGUUUUAGUUUAAUGCAGCAGCUGGAGCGAUCUUAGCCAUCAUCAGAACUUCUGCACAAGAAGUCUCACAAGGAUACGGUGAAAAGCACAGAUCAGACCAGUACCUGUGUACUGGUCCACAACUUCAUUUCUGAAGCAACCAAAAACUCAGCUGUGGGGAUUUAAACAAAAUCUAAAAAUCUCACAUGGGGGAGAACUCAGUAUUACUAAAUCAACGGUGGCAACUGUCAGAACUCAGCUAGAACACAUGAAAAAUUAACGUUGUACAAGGAAGCUUAACUGUACCCACUUACACAAAUAUUAUGCUGUGGCAAUUAUCUGAUUAUGCACUGUCUCCUCCUCACCACACACUACACUAAAUGGGGGCAAUUCAACUGAAAGAACGAUUCAGACUUACUGCAUGUCUCUAUCUCACUUGGUACAUAACCUGGCUGGCACAAGGUAGAGGAAUAACAAGAAAUGGCUUAACUCAGAAACAGAUUUUCAGAAUAAUACAGCUGAUGAGGUUAUCCUAAAAUGUUCAGCUAGCCACUGGUGGCAGAUUUAUAUUAACUGUCUAAUUACACGUUUAUAAAGUGAUACAUUUUCAGGAUAAGGAUUCAAACAUUUUGUGGACACUGCAUGAGGGGGGGAAAAAGAAAUAAAGCAAUGAUGCCUGAGCAGGAUCACUCCAUAAGCAUCUCAGGUAUAAUGAUAGGACAGCAGGCAACCUGCUUUGCUUAAAAAUCUUCUAACAUGACCCUAGCCUAAACUAGGAAUAAUUUUAAAACAGCAGUGUUUUUCAGGGAUGCUCUGAAGAACUACAGAGUGCAGCUUGAAAACUUUAGCCUGUAGGUGAAGAAAAGUAUUUCUUCAGGAGGGCAGCAUAGCACUGUAGCAGGUGGUAGAUGUGCUGUCCUUGGAAGUUUUUAAGGUUUGCUUAAACAAGGGCAGAGCUGAUCAGGUCUUGUGCUAGCAGCAGUCUUGCUUCUUAAAUAAAUUUGUGAUCUCCUGAGGUUGCUUUCAAACACUACUUCUAUGAUCCCAUAAAACAAUAUCCACAGAGCAUUCUGGUGCUAUGACAGAAGCAGUGUGGAAAGAAGACUGAAGGAAUCCAUGGUUACCUGUUUAGAAGAGGAUCUGACCAGUCAGAAUUAAACAACACACUUGAGAAAGAUGAGAAAAGUACAGCUGCUACCAUUUCUGUCACAACAGCAGCAAACAGCUUCUAAAGCUCACCCAAAGGAGCAAAAACUGCCUUAAGAACACACCCCUAUCAACCAGCAUCCUCACAAAUAUGCCACUCGGUUAUGUGAGAAAACUUCACCAGUAAGCCAGUAUGUAAAGAAUUUCCCCCUGACAUCCAACCUAAAUCUUCCCUCCCUCAACUUAAAACCAUUUGCCCUUGUCCCGCUGCUAUCUACCCUUUCAAAGAGUUGAUUGCCCUCCUGUUUGUAGGUACUGAAAGUAACUUAAAACAUCACUGAGAGUUUAGGAUCAGGGUGCUUGGGACAGGGAAGCUCUGUGCUGUGGACUCAUGACAGCCCGGAAGACACAGCUGUCACCGCACACUCACCCUGGCCGGUCACCUGCCUGCGACCUGCAACCAGCAGCUGCUAACCCCUGACAAACGACCAGCUGGAAAGGCUCGCACGGUGCAGCACGUACAAGGGCCAGGAGAUGGGCGGGCCGCUCCCGUCUGUAAGAUGACAGCAACUCGGGAGAGGAGCCGGCAGUCGCACCAUCUACUAACGCGUUACCGUCAGCCGUCACGCUUCGAGCCGCAGCGAGCUCAAACUCCUCAGGGCGGCAGCCAGAUGGUGCAAGGAAUGUGCCAGAAGUCUGAUAUCUGACUCGACAAAGGAAUGACUGAAUUUAAAAAGAGAUUUGUCAGUGUUGCUGGUGCUGCUUCCCUUAACUUCAGAGAGAAGUUCGGCAUCCAAGAUGAGAACCAAGCAAAACUGGUAACCACAUCUGAUUGUUUCACUACUGGGUAAAGAAGCCCAUUCGAUUCAGGGGUCAAUGGGAUGUCAACACAGCAUUAGAGCUCACAGAUCCAGCUGCUUCCAGGCAGUUACAUCCUAUGUCUUAGAGCAACAGAAGACAGCACAGAGCUGAUGCGUUUAAGCUGGCUCUCAGUUCCUACAGGAGUUUCCUUCU